UGGCUCGGGUGGCGAACGGGUGAGUAACACGUGAGUAACCUGCCCUUGACUUUGGGAUAACUUCAGGAAACUGGGGCUAAUACCGGAUAGGAGCUCCUGCUGCAUGGUGGGGGUUGGAAAGUUUCGGCGGUUGGGGAUGGACUCGCGGCUUACCAGCUUGUUGGUGGGGUAGUGGCUUACCAAGGCUUUGACGGGUAGCCGGCCUGAGAGGGUGACCGGCCACAUUGGGACUGAGAUACGGCCCAG
This 246-nucleotide ribosomal RNA is filed under the name uncultured Actinomycetales bacterium. RNAcentral's name for it is "partial 16S ribosomal RNA". It matches the Rfam family "Bacterial small subunit ribosomal RNA", at positions 87 to 334 of the family's 1533-position model. The record is from RNAcentral. Lineage: Bacteria; Bacillati; Actinomycetota; Actinomycetes; Actinomycetales.